RNAcentral lists this small RNA (27 nucleotides) under Bombyx mori (domestic silkworm). Its description in RNAcentral is "ovarian small RNA-13477". Lineage: Eukaryota; Metazoa; Arthropoda; Insecta; Lepidoptera; Bombycidae. The record is from RNAcentral.
CCAAUCUCGGCGGUCUGUGCUGGAAGC